Non-coding RNA from Mycena galericulata, 91 nucleotides. Lineage: Eukaryota; Fungi; Basidiomycota; Agaricomycetes; Agaricales; Mycenaceae. The record is from the annotation of a GenBank genome assembly.
GUCUUCGUGGAGUAAUCCGGAAACUCACUCCUCUCGAGAGUAGCGUAGAAGUUGUACGGGAGAGUUGUUGGUUCGAGUCCACACGAAGACG